AAUAAUGGAAGCAAUUUGUAACUUUCAGUAGCUCUCUAGGCCAGAGUACUCGAGGGAGGGAGACGCGCCGAGGUGGGGAGGUGGGAACCCCCAGUCCUUCUACUCCCGUCUCUCGUGCAGGGGCACCCGGAUCCCCAUUCCUCUUUAUCCCCAACACGCCGACACUCGCAGGGUCCCGCGCCCACUUCUGAACGGCGGUCGCCGCUCCAGAGCAAGGAGAGCAGACGGCCUCCCGGCUGGACACUCAUUUUGCAGCUGCCCUUGCUGCCAGGUGUGGCCAGAGGGGAAUGAAUGGGAGCCACAUAAUGUCAUCAGAGCCUUAAGCCAUCGGGUAAGUUCUUCUUUCACGAGCUGGACCAGAUGCCCCUGGGACUGAGCUUUGGCCGUGCAGUUGAGGAGACAUCCCUAAGAGAGGCCAAAGCCACCACAUGGAAGGAAGCCACGUCUCUGAUGGACCGGGUGGAACAGAGUUGCCUGCCGGCUGGAACUGCUCUGUCGAGACUGUUACACGAGGAAUAAACUUGUUUUCUAGCAGUUA
Suricata suricatta (meerkat) is the source of this 538-nucleotide long non-coding RNA. RefSeq lists it as uncharacterized. The transcript has 2 exons. The record is from RefSeq and is a predicted model, not a curated record. NCBI's taxonomy places the organism in Eukaryota, Metazoa, Chordata, Mammalia, Carnivora, Herpestidae.